AGACGUCUACAUUAGAUACCCGUGUAGUCCCAGCCGUAAACGAUGUGCGUUAGGUGUAUCGACGACCACGAGUCGUCGAGGUGCCGAAGGGAAACCGUGAAACGUACCGCCUGGGAAGUACGGUCGCAAGGCUGAAACUUAAAGGAAUUGGCGGGGAGCACCACAACGGGUGGAGCCUGCGGUUUAAUUGAACUCAACGCCGGGAAGCUCACCGGAUAAGACAGCGGAAUGAUUGCCGGGCUGAAGACUCUGCAUGACUAGCUG
This 264-nucleotide ribosomal RNA is filed under the name uncultured archaeon. RNAcentral describes it as "partial 16S ribosomal RNA". It matches the Rfam family "Archaeal small subunit ribosomal RNA", at positions 717 to 982 of the family's 1478-position model. The record is from RNAcentral.